UACCUAUACGUUGCCUCGGCGGAUCAGCCCGCGCCCUGUAAAAAGGGACGGCCCGCCCGAGGACCCUAAACUCUGUUUUUAGUGGAACUUCUGAGUAAAACAAACAAAUAAAUCAAAACUUUCAACAACGGAUCUCUUGGUUCUGGCAUCGAUGAAGAACGCAGCAAAAUGCGAUAAGUAAUGUGAAUUGCAGAAUUCAGUGAAUCAUCGAAUCUUUGAACGCACAUUGCGCCCGCCAGUAUUCUGGCGGGCAUGCCUGUUCGAGCGUCAUUUCAACCCUCAAGCUCAGCUUGGUGUUGGGACUCGCGGUAACCCGCGUUCCCCAAAUCGAUUGGCGGUCACGUCGAGCUUCCAUAGCGUAGUAAUCAUACACCUCGUUACUGGUAAUCGUCGCGGCCACGCCGUAAAACCCCAACUUCUGAAUGUUGACCUCGGAUCAGGUAGGAAUACCCGCUGAACUUAAGCAUAUCAAUAAGCGGAGGAA
Molecule: ribosomal RNA, 484 nt
Filed under: Fusarium sp. CJL-2014
Lineage: Eukaryota; Fungi; Ascomycota; Sordariomycetes; Hypocreales; Nectriaceae
Description: eukaryotic LSU rRNA
Rfam family: 5.8S ribosomal RNA (bases 117-270)
Source: RNAcentral